GGUAUGUUAAGUAAGGAUCAACUCUAGGUCAUAUUUGCCAGUUAGAUAUAUUCUAAGAGUUGCCCAUGGAAUUAAUUAUUCAUAAUAUUUUUCUGAUUCUUGUAGAAAAUUUGGAAAAUGUAGUUUAGUUAUAAUGCUUUCACUUAGCAUUGCAUUGUAAACACAGUGUAUUAAAUAAAAAUAAGUGCUUAAAAGUUUUAAAGUUUUCAUACUUGAAAAUGGACCCAAAUGGAAAUAAAAUUUAAAUAGACGCUUGUACUCCAGUGAUGUUUUACUGGAAUAGCUGGAUGUAAGUUGAUCGGUUUAAGAAGUUAUCUACCCAAUUCAAGCUUGAAAACACUUCUCAAAAAUCAUUUGUAUAAAUAACAUUCUAUUACAUUUGAAAAUAUUAAAUCGGUCUCAGUAGAGUUUAACAUUUAUUGAGAAUUCAAUGAGAGCCAAGUUGUUCUUUGCCUUUCCUAUCUUCUCCAGUUCUUUUUGUCACAGGAUUGAGGAAAAUAAUUAGCCCCCUAUAGAGUCGUAAACUAAGAUCAGUUAGGGAGCAAUAUAUUAACUCCCAUUUAGUGCUCCUUCCCAAGUUCCAUUAGAAUCAUUAUUUGUCUUACACCCUGAUCCAGUGUGUUUGCGGGAUCCAUUUCAGUGUCACUCAAAUGCUGGUCUGUUUCACUUCCAUUUCCUGGAACGGUACAGGCUGUCCUUGUUUAUGUCCACAAUGCAUUCCUGGAAACCACACCAUAUAGGGAUCUGUGGUAACACAGGUCAUUUGCCUCUUAAGACUAGCGUCAUAACAGAAGGUCAUAGUCCUAAAUAAGGGACACAGAAACAAAUAAACUGUAACUAUUGCCAGCUGACUUACCAUAAAAACAAAGGUCCGAAAACAAGAUACAUCCAUAAUAAUUUAGAGUAAAAAUCAUACUUCACCUCUUAUAAAAUGAGCAAGAGGCUUCCAUCUACUUUGACAGUGGGUAACAUACCGAUAGCGCAUUACAAAAUGAAAUUCAGCUCUCCUACACUGACCACAAAUGAAUUUAAUAAGUUCAAUCAGCAUUAAUCUUCUCUUCCUUUCUAGAAUUUCAGAGGGGAGGAAAACUGGUUUUGAGGGGCCCUAGAUCUUUUUAAAAAAAAAGUAGAAAAUAAAAAAUACAAAAAAUCCACAAAUAUAUCUCCAUUUUUUUCCUCUAUAAAUACCUGCAUACAGUUAUUGAAAACCACUCCACAGAGUAGAAGGGAGAAUUUAGCAAAAGAUUUUAAAAAGAAUUAUAAGAAAACAGAUAAAAACAACAAUGGUAGGGACCUCUGCUGAAAAUAUCUUUUCCCUGUGACAUUUCCCAGUACCUCAACAUUUUCAAAGCUGCCUUCGUGGCUGUUCGGAGGCUACCACAUUGCUGCGAGGGUCUGACACCAUCUCCUUCCUGAUCCGUUGGCGCUGCCAUGCAGAUUUGUUUGCCUGCUCCGCACAAGAGGUUUUGGGUGGAUGAAAGCAUGAGGAAUGGAUGUGAGAGACGCCGUGAUGGUCUAGUCAGCAAAACUUGGAUAAACAUACAGGGCGGGGUAGAUUAAAAGUGUCUUCAAAUUCUUUGCUACUCUUUCCAUAGAAUCUUUCCGCUCACCUUGAAUCUCAGUGGUCUUAGUCACCUACUUGAUCAAUGUGGCAAAGGAUUCUGAUUGAUCCCCAUGGAGCUAGAAGUCCUAAGAAGUCUUAUGGCUUCCUCCUAGGCCUCCUGGAACACUCCUUUUUGUUAGUCAGCUUCUGUACUGUGAAGAAGCCUAAGAAACCCUGUGGAGAGGUCCACCUGGAGAGGAACAGAGGCCACCAAAUGACAGAUCUUUGGAGAACGAUGCAAGAUUCAAGAUUUUCUGUGAUGAUAUAUCUAACAACCCCUACACAGACUCAGCAUAAUCUCCUACAAUAGCGACCACAAAAACAAGCACACACAAAACCUUCUUUUUGGUCCUCUCUCCAUUUUUUGUCCAUCGGAUCCCAUAAUUAUUUACCUAAUUAUCCCACCUUUUCGGAGUCCAUUUUCCCAUUAUUUAGUAAAAGAAUUACACAUUCAUCGUAGCCACAUCUUCAACUGGACUAUGUUCUACAUAAAAUUAAAGAUGAUUUUCAAGGAAAAUAA
Molecule: long non-coding RNA, 2123 nt
Organism: Canis lupus familiaris (dog)
Lineage: Eukaryota; Metazoa; Chordata; Mammalia; Carnivora; Canidae
Exons: 2
Source: RefSeq, a predicted model, not a curated record